RNAcentral lists this ribosomal RNA (208 nucleotides) under uncultured bacterium. RNAcentral describes it as "partial 16S ribosomal RNA". It matches the Rfam family "Bacterial small subunit ribosomal RNA", at positions 568 to 775 of the family's 1533-position model. The record is from RNAcentral.
UGCGUAGGCGGCGCGGUAAGUCGGGUGUGAAAUCUUGGAGCUUAACUCCGAAACUGCAUUCGAUACUGCCGUGCUUGAGGACUGGAGAGGAGACUGGAAUUUACGGUGUAGCGGUGAAAUGCGUAGAUAUCGUAAGGAAGACCAGUGGCGAAGGCGGGUCUCUGGACAGUUCCUGACGCUGAGGCACGAAGGCCAGGGGAGGCAAACG